Molecule: ribosomal RNA, 1289 nt
Filed under: uncultured bacterium
Lineage: Bacteria
Description: partial 16S ribosomal RNA
Rfam family: Bacterial small subunit ribosomal RNA
Source: RNAcentral
GGGGCAGCGAGUAGAUUGCUUGCAAUCUAUGUCGGCGACCGGCGCACGGGUGCGUAACGCGUAUGCAACCUACCCAUUACAGGGGGAUAACACUGAGAAAUCGGUACUAAUACCCCAUAACAUCCAGGGAGGCAUCUUCUUGGGUUGAAAACUCCGGUGGUAAUGGAUGGGCAUGCGUUGUAUUAGUUAGUUGGUGGGGUAACGGCUCACCAAGACAACGAUACAUAGGGGGACUGAGAGGUUAACCCCCCACAUUGGUACUGAGACACGGACCAAACUCCUACGGGAGGCAGCAGUGAGGAAUAUUGGUCAAUGGACGCAAGUCUGAACCAGCCAUGCCGCGUGCAGGAAGACGGCUCUAUGAGUUGUAAACUGCUUUUGUACGAGGGUAAACGCAGAUACGUGUAUCUGUCUGAAAGUAUCGUACGAAUAAGGAUCGGCUAACUCCGUGCCAGCAGCCGCGGUAAUACGGAGGAUUCAAGCGUUAUCCGGAUUUAUUGGGUUUAAAGGGUGCGUAGGCGGUCGGAUAAGUUAGAGGUGAAAUCCCGAGGCUCAACUUCGGAAUUGCCUCUGAUACUGUUCGGCUAGAGAGUAGUUGCGGUAGGCGGAAUGUAUGGUGUAGCGGUGAAAUGCUUAGAGAUCAUACAGAACACCGAUUGCGAAGGCAGCUUACCAAGCUACUUCUGACGUUGAGGCACGAAAGCGUGGGGAGCAAACAGGAUUAGAUACCCUGGUAGUCCACGCAGUAAACGAUGAUAACUCGUUGUCGGCGAUACAAUGUCGGUGACUAAGCGAAAGCGAUAAGUUAUCCACCUGGGGAGUACGUUCGCAAGAAUGAAACUCAAAGGAAUUGACGGGGGCCCGCACAAGCGGAGGAACAUGUGGUUUAAUUCGAUGAUACGCGAGGAACCUUACCCGGGCUUGGAAGUUAGUGACAGAUCUGGAAACAGGUCUUCCCUUCGGGGCACGAAACUAGGUGCUGCAUGGUUGUCGUCAGCUCGUGCCGUGAGGUGUCGGGUUAAGUCCCAUAACGAGCGCAACCCCUACCGUCAGUUGCCAGCAGGUCAAGCUGGGCACUCUGGCGGGACUGCCGGUGUAAGCCGAGAGGAAGGUGGGGAUGACGUCAAAUCAGCACGGCCCUUACGUCCGGGGCUACACACGUGUUACAAUGGCAGGUACAGAGGGCAGCUACCCAGCGAUGGGAUGCGAAUCUCGAAAGCCUGUCUCAGUUCGGAUUGGAGGCUGAAACCCGCCUCCAUGAAGUUGGAUUCGCUAGUAAUCGCGCAUCA